This is a non-coding RNA of Caenorhabditis elegans, 75 nucleotides long. The record is from the annotation of a RefSeq genome assembly. NCBI's taxonomy places the organism in Eukaryota, Metazoa, Nematoda, Chromadorea, Rhabditida, Rhabditidae.
GGUUCGGUGGUCGAGUGGUGAACGCGUUCGCCUCUUGAGCAGAAGUUUGUGGGUUCGGUUCCCAUACAUGGUUUA